Molecule: long non-coding RNA, 1324 nt
Organism: Xenopus laevis (African clawed frog)
Lineage: Eukaryota; Metazoa; Chordata; Amphibia; Anura; Pipidae
Exons: 4
Source: RefSeq, a predicted model, not a curated record
CGGUCAUGUGAUCCGGUCAUGUGACCGUUCCACUGCGUAUUACCCAUUAGUGAGCUGCAAAUUCAAACAUGGGAAAGUGGUAAUGGGUUCUAGUGGCGGCUGCGGACUCUUGACUGGACCUGAAACUUAAACCCCGGUGUUGCCAACUUGUAUUGUAGGUUUGGUACAGGUUGUAACCUCUACCUUAGUUUUCGGGCAGUUCAUUGUGUCGCUGGAUGUUUGUAGAGAUUGAAGGGAUGUGUGCCUCUGAAUUUCUGUGGGGCUCCUCUCUCUGCAACCUCUCAGUUGGUUUGGUUCCCUUAUUCAGCUAUUGACCAUCUCCGGCAGGCCCUGGGCGAGAAUGAAAGAACCGGCACAAUCAGGCUAUUCUGGGCAAACUCCAGAGGAAGUUGGAUGAAUAUUUUGAGAAGCUGAAGAAAGCCCCAGACGACUACUAAAAAUCUGAUAACCAAAAUAUGCUACCUGGCUCAUUCUUUGAGAGGUGGACUAGUCUGGCCAAUGGACCGUACAAGAGCAGGGAGCUGAUCAGUGGCUACUUCAGUCAAGGGUCCAUUUCACACCUGCCUAGAUACAUAUGGCUUCAAUUAGAUAUAAAUGGGGUUGACAUAUCACCAGCCUAACCUGUAAUAUAGCAGCUGAAACUGGGACCAGUGUUACACAUUUAACCAGCAAUGUAUUUGCUCAUAAAUGUAUAAUUCCCUGACAUACCACCCCUGUCCUGUCCCUCCCCAAUCUCUGCCUCCAGCUCCGCUUCUUUCCCUUCUUCCUAUAAUCCUCCUGCUCCCAUAUCGACCAUAUUUUCUCCCGAACCACCCCCUCAUUGUCUCUCCCCUUUCUGUACAGCCAGAUUUUUUUUUUUCGAAAAUGGUGACAACCCUAGAUAUUGGUCAGGCAGGACCUUCUGAGGGCCCAUGUAUGAUAAUGUCCCUGGCACAGCACAAGCCCAGUAUAAUGCCUCUUCCGAGCUGACUGGACUGUGCUGGCACCCAGCCUAAAUCAGUGCAAUGGACUGUGAAAACCUGUUGGUGGCGCCUACUCCCACAAGCAGCGUCUCCUAUUUCCCCUACUCAUGUAUGUCAGUGGGCAUGGGUAUUCUACUACUUCAUUAUAAAGCAUGGGGGCAACACCAUGCAGCAGGGAGGCAGCAAGAUCAACAUGUGAUUUGUUAAAGGCCUGGGCCCAACAGAACUGAGAAGCUUGAUACUGUUGUACCCUGCAAUAACAUAAACUUAACCCUUGCUCUGUCUACCCCCCCCCACCCUGUCUCUUAAAGUGGACCUGUCACCCAGACACAAAAAUCUGUAUAAUAAAAAUCUUUUUCAAA